AAUGAACGUUGGCGGCGUGGAUUAGGCAUGCAAGUCGCGCGACAAGGAACCUUCGGGUUCUGGAGGAGCGGCAAACGGGGUAGUAAGGCAUCGGAACGUACCCUCUUGUUGGGAAUAGCCGCGGGAAACUGCGAGUAAUGCCCAAUAAUCCCUACGGGGCAAAGGUCCGCCGCAGGAGGAGCGGCCGAUGUGAUACCAGCUAGUUGGUGAGGUAAUGGCUCACCAAGGCUUAGACGUCUAGGGGGUGUGAGAGCAUGGGCCCCCACCACUGGGACGUGAGAUACUGCCCACGACACCUACGGGUGGGCUGCAGUCGAGAAUCUUCGGCGAAUAGGGCGGCAAG
Molecule: ribosomal RNA, 343 nt
Filed under: uncultured bacterium
Lineage: Bacteria
Description: bacterial SSU rRNA
Rfam family: Bacterial small subunit ribosomal RNA
Source: RNAcentral